Molecule: ribosomal RNA, 484 nt
Filed under: uncultured bacterium
Lineage: Bacteria
Description: bacterial SSU rRNA
Rfam family: Bacterial small subunit ribosomal RNA
Source: RNAcentral
UGGUUGUCGUCAGCUCGUGUCGUGAGAUGUUGGGUUAAGUCCCGCAACGAGCGCAACCCUUAAGCUUAGUUGCCAUCAUUAAGUUGGGCACUCUAGGUUGACUGCCGGUGACAAACCGGAGGAAGGUGGGGAUGACGUCAAAUCAUCAUGCCCCUUAUGAUUUGGGCUACACACGUGCUACAAUGGACAAUACAAAGGGCAGCUAAACCGCGAGGUCAUGCAAAUCCCAUAAAGUUGUUCUCAGUUCGGAUUGUAGUCUGCAACUCGACUGCAUGAAGCUGGAAUCGCUAGUAAUCGUAGAUCAGCAUGCUACGGUGAAUACGUUCCCGGGUCUUGUACACACCGCCCGUCACACCACGAGAGUUUGUAACACCCGAAGCCGGUGGAGUAACCAUUUAUGGAGCUAGCCGUCGAAGGUGGGACAAAUGAUUGGGGUGAAGUCGUAACAAGGUAGCCGUAUCGGAAGGUGCGGUUGGAUCACCUC